RNAcentral lists this long non-coding RNA (1414 nucleotides) under Homo sapiens (human). RNAcentral describes it as "HSALNT0397069". Lineage: Eukaryota; Metazoa; Chordata; Mammalia; Primates; Hominidae. The record is from RNAcentral.
CGACCUCGCGCUCUGGGUGGCCGGGACCGCCCCAGAGCCCCUGGGCAAAAGAGCAGCCCCGUUGUGGGGAGAGCAGCAGAAUGUAGAAAAGCUGAAGUUGAUGGGAAUAGAUUUCAUUUGGAAAAUAACCAUGAAAUUACCUGAUGAAGAAAUUGCUAAUGAAGCUAUUCAGUUAAUCAUAAAAUAUAGUUAUGGUAAUCUAAAUCCUAGCUUAAAGAGGAUGAAUAUCUAAGGAAAGAAAGUUACUCAUUGCUAUGCAAGAUUUGAAAUAAUUUAUAAAGUUGAUGUUUGAGAGUGCAUUCUAUUGAAGAAUUUGUCAACUGUACCACUGUGGCAUAGGGAACAGGAACUUGCCAUGAUACCCUCAAUAUGGAUGUGUACUGUAGCAAAUCUCAUUCUCCUACCACCUCUCUUCUGCACUCCAUCCUCCCACCACUAUAGAAAUACAGUUCAUAGCCAAGAUGAACAAGAGGAGGAACAAUCACCACACACAAAAAUCAGUCACCAGGCAUCAGAGCCUUCUGGGGUGAACAUCUAUCAUUACCAUCAUCACCACCACCAUCCUCACCGCCGUCAUUGCUGUUUUUUAUGAGCUCACAGGAGUCAUGUGGAGGCCCAGGGGAACCUCGCUUAAAUUCCAUGAUGAAGGCCAUGGGGAGAAACAUUUGACUGGGGCCCUUCUGCAUGAGGAAGUGGAGGUUGUUAGUGUCUCCAGGGCAGAUACCCUGCUAUGUUCUCUGACCCCCCUCCCCACUCCACCGCAGUUGCUGAAAUGGUGCUGGCUUGUCACAGUUGCUCACUCCUGGGAUGAAACAUGGGGUCUGUGGCUGCCUGAGCCCACUGGGCUCUAGACCUCUGUGUGAUGCUCCCCCUGCCCUGUCUGGGUAAAAAACCCCAGCAAGGAGGAAGAGGCAGACCCCCUCAUCCACUCGAUGCGCCUGCAGUAGCUCCCUCAAAUACUCCAGGCCAGGACCACCUCCUUUCAGUGCCAGCAUGAGGCUCCCGGCCAGCACAGUGAAGUUGGGAGAGACACUGGCAGGAUACACACAGCUAUGCAGGCAAAAGAGGAAUCAAAAAGGAUCAAGUUGCCAGCUGCCAUCUGCCUUUUGCCUUUCCCUUCCACUUCCCCCAGCCUGUCACCCUCCUCUCCUGGUGGGCUAAAAGUGGCACGUUUAGGAAGAUCACAGCUGAGUGUUUGGGACAAGGACUGAGGGGUGGGGUUGGUGUUCCUGAAGACAAACAUCAUGUUCUCAAUUAUUCGUGGGAGCUAAUAAUUAAAACGAUUGAACUCAUGAAGGUAGAGAGUAGAAAGAUGGUUACCAGAGGCUGGAAGGGGUAGUGGAGUGGGAGGAGAUGUGGGGAGGGUUAAUUGGUACAAAAACAUAGAAAAAAACCUAGUAUUUGCUAGCACAAC